RNAcentral lists this ribosomal RNA (497 nucleotides) under uncultured bacterium. Its description in RNAcentral is "partial 16S ribosomal RNA". It matches the Rfam family "Bacterial small subunit ribosomal RNA", at positions 28 to 507 of the family's 1533-position model. The record is from RNAcentral.
GACGAACGCUGGCGGCGUGCCUAAUACAUGCAAGUUGAGCGCUGAAGGUUGGUACUUGUACCGACUGGAUGAGCAGCGAACGGGUGAGUAACGCGUGGGGAAUCUGCCUUUGAGCGGGGGACAACAUUUGGAAACGAAUGCUAAUACCGCAUAAAAACUUUAAACACAAGUUUUAAGUUUGAAAGAUGCAAUUGCAUCACUCAAAGAUGAUCCCGCGUUGUAUUAGCUAGUUGGUGAGGUAAAGGCUCACCAAGGCGAUGAUACAUAGCCGACCUGAGAGGGUGAUCGGCAACAUUGGGACUGGGACACGGCCCAAACUCCUACGGGAGGGAGCAGUAGGGAAUCUUCGGCAAUGGACGAAAGUCUGACCGAGCAACGCCGCGUGAGUGAAGAAGGUUUUCGGAUCGUAAAACUCUGUUGGUAGAGAAGAACGUUGGUGAGAGUGGAAAGCUCAUCAAGUGACGGUAACUACCCAGAAAGGGACGGCUAACUACGUG